GCCAAGUCGAAAUGAUAUGAUACGAAAUAUUGUCAUUCUAAAACUGACAAGUUUAGAUGGAAUACAGUACAAAGUUUGCUCUUACUUGUUGCAAGAAGCUGCAACUAUUGACUAACCCAUGUACAUGUGAAUCAGUGUUAAGCUUUUUGACAGAAGCAACGCCCCAGCAAAGAAGUCUCCAGAACAACUCAGGUUAACUUGAUUGAUGAGCUAUGCACAAGAACGUAAAGUGUGAAGAAACUGAAGUGAGUAGUGUAACCAGUUGAAGUCAGAGGGCAAUAGAUCCAUAAACUGCUAGAUUCUUUUACAAGGAAAGGACAUAGGUUCAACUGCUAAGUGAAUGCUGCUCAGGUCCUGCUAUCGUUUCAGGCACAUCUAAAAUAUGUGGAAAU
Molecule: unclassified non-coding RNA, 392 nt
Filed under: Hevea brasiliensis (rubber tree)
Lineage: Eukaryota; Viridiplantae; Streptophyta; Magnoliopsida; Malpighiales; Euphorbiaceae
Source: RNAcentral